AGCCCCCUGGUUCUCAGGCCUUCAGGUUUGGACUGGAACUACACUCCUGGCUUUCCUGGGCCUCCAGCUUACAGAGGGCAGAUUGGGGGACUUCUCCGGCUCCAGAAUUGCAUGAGCCAAUCCCUCACAAUAAAUCUCCUUUGUAUAUCUGUCUAUCUAUAUAUAUCCUAUUGGUCCUGUUUCUCUGGAGAAGCCUGACUUAAUACAAAGAGGAAUAUGGUCUAACUGGAAUUUCAGGUGUCAGAAGGAACAGGAGGUGUGGGGGAAGAUGAGGGGUAGGGAGGAACAUCACAGAGAAGCUCUGAAGUCACACUGAGGAGGUGUCACCGACGUGAGCCACACACAGGACGAGGCCAGGUACUACGGGGUAGACCAGUUGUUCAGGAGAAACCACCUUUGAUAGGCUACUUAACCAGGGGACAAGGGUGACCCAGGUGCUGCCAGCUCUAUCUGGUGUGGCCUCAGUAGUGCUCCAUGCUGGGGGACAGGGGCUCUGUCUCCCAGAGGAGAAGAUCUUCUCUACAAAGGGGCUUCAUACACAGGGUUGAGGAAAGUAUCUGGAUACAGAAAAUGGCAUCAGCAGUUCUGACUGGCCCCAGGUGUGUCCCUUCCUUUUCACCCCAGGAGAAACUCAGUGUGUGAAGUGGACCAGGGCACAGAGAAAACCAAGGAAGAAUUUGCCAAACAGGGAGAAGAUGAGGGCACCCAGAGCUGAGCACUGCCAGCAUCCUGCAGCCGGAGGAGGCAUCUGGCAAGAAGGAGAGCCACUAUUUGGUAAACCCACCCACAUGUCUGCCAGAGAUGUUAGGAAUUCCUCACCUGAUUCCUGGCCACAGAUGCUCCUGUAACAAGCGGUGAUUCACCUCCCUGGCAGUGCCAUGGAGCUAUCUGGCUCUGCCUGUGUGUGGUUUGUGGGGUCCAGGGUUUGGCACAGAGGGAGAAGGGGGAGGGGAAGGGUGCCCACUGUUUUCCAGCACCGCGUCUCUGGCUUAACCAAUAAUAGUUGUUUUCUUUCAAACAUCAGAAUUCCUGAAUUGUAGUUACAUUUUUUUUGAGAAGGGAUCGCAGAAAUAGAGAUGUAAGGAAUCUCCACGUUCAAAAGCACAGCCCAGAGCAGACCUACGGGGGCAAGUCCAGCCCUGGGUGACCAGUAAAUAGCGCUCCAAUCAGUGUGCACAUACAUAUGGUCACAUCCCUUCUACUUUUGCCAUUAAUACUCAGACUUUGUCUAACUGUCAGGAAACCCAUUUAUCUCCUUCAUGGGGCUCUCCCUCUCCCUCCUCACCCCAAGAGGUCCACACCAUCUGAGCAGAGAAAAACAUCAAGUCUAAAAUGUCUUUGCUUCUGAAGGCCACCGAGCACUGUUGCUGGAAACCGUUCCUGCUUGAUUCCGCCAGCCAUCUCCGUCCACCACCUGGCAAGAGUUGUGCACAAGAGGCUUGGGCUCUUAGAGGUGGGGUCAGCCACUUCCUCGGGACUAAAUCUAGCCCGGAGGGCCCCAAACGUGAGUCCCCCUGUGUAUUGGUUUCCUAACGCUGCCAUAACAAAUGACCACAAACUGGGUGGCUUAAAACAAUGGAAAUUACUCUCUCACAGUUUUGGAGGAUGGCAGUGUGAAAUCAAGGUGUUGGCAGGUUGGUCUUUCUGGGGUUCUGAGGGUGGACCCUUUCCAUGCCUCUCUCCUAGCUUCUGGGGGCCGCCAGCAAUCCUUGGCUGGCAGCUGCGUGAUUCCAAUCUCCACCUCCUUCACGCGGCCGUCUCUGUGUUUCGCCUCUGCUCUUCUGUCAUUGGAUUUAUGGCCCACUUGGUUAAUCUGGAAUGUUUUCAUCUCGAAAUCCUUAACCUAAUUACAUCUGCAAAGGUACGUUUUCUGAAUAAGGUGAUAUUCACAGGUUCUGCUGGACAUAUCUUUUAGGGGAGCACCAUUCAAUCCAGGUGUAUUAGUCAGCUCAGGUUGCCAUAACAAAUACCAAGGACUUGGGGGCUGAAACAACAGACAUUUAUGUUCUCACAGUUCUGGAGGCUGGAAGUCCAAGAUCAAGGUGUCAGCAAGGUUGGUUUCUCCAGAGGCCUCUCUCCUUGGCUUGCAGACGGCCACCUUCUUACAGUGUCUUUGCGUGGUCCUUCCUCUGUGGGCAUAUCCCUGGUGUGUCUCUGUGUGUCCACACCACCUCUUCUUAUACAGUCACCUGUCAUGUUGGAUGAGAGGCCCAACCUCUGACCUCAUUUAACCUUAAUCCCUUCUAUAAAGGCCUUAUCUCCAAAUGCAGUUACCUUCUGAGGUUCAGGGUGUUAGGGCUUCAACAUAGGAAUUCUGAGGGGGCACAAUUCAGCCCAUAACAAGGAGGUGGUUUUUAGACACAGACCUUGCUGAGGAAGAGAAAAAGCAAACGUCUAUUCUCUGGUGACUCACCCCCUGCUCUGGUGCCCCGUCCACCUCAGAGGACACAGGGCGUGUGGCUCUGUCCCAGGGCUACACAUGCCAGGCCCUGCCCAGCACGUCACUCACAUUAAUCAGGUACCGGCCUUUCCUUCCCUCUUCAGUGUCACCCCCUCUGGUGCAUUUGGGCAGGCGUGACAGCAGAAGGAGGUGGGUUGCCCGCGCGGGGUCCAGAAGCCCCUGUCUGACCACUGCCUCUCCAGCUGGGCAUUCCUCCUGCUCUGCCAGGGCCACUCCUCACCCCACUGUCGACCACAACUCAGAGGGACCCGUGGCUGCAGUCCCUGCGGUGCGGUGGGGGGAGGAAAAACCCAGGAGACCCCACCUCUCUUGGUGGCCCCAUCCGUUACUCCAAUCUGUAAAAUCACCAUAUUGUUAAAAAAGUUCUGUCUGUUGGGGUACUUUUGGUGGCAAGUAAGAGCCAAUCUAACUCAAAGUGGUUUUAACAGUAAGAACUUAUUGGUCCGCAUAAAUGAAAAGCCCAAAUGUGGAGUGGGCUUCAGGCAGGGGUUGAUCCAGCAGUUCAACAAUGCCACCAAAAACCCAUAUUCCUUUCCAUUUCUUGUCCCUGUUUGUCUUCCUGGUAUUGGUUUCAACCAAGGGCUCUGUCCUCUUCGGUUACAAGAUGGUCACGAGCAGCUCCUGGGAUAAGCUGCCUCCAUCCCACAGAGCAAGAAGAGAAUACCUUCCCCCAACUGGAUCAGAGAGCCUAAGCAUCCUUCUGAUGUGGACCACAUGCCCAUCUCUGAACUAAUCAGUGUGCCUGGGGGUAGGGUGGGACUACUUUAGAAAACAAGGACCCAUUUCUGGAGCUGGAGGGCGGUGGUAGAACAGCCACUCCACCCAAACCACGCACUGCCUUGCAAGAAUUGAGCCACAGAGGCAGGCUGACAUAGAUGAUUCGGGGUCAGCUUCACCAUCCACUGCAUCCACAAGUUGGAUGUGGAUUGUGCUGAAGAGCAGAGAAAACAAAACAUAUUACAGCAUGUGUUGCAGGUGAGAUUGUAUGUAUGUAAAAUACACCUUGACCUCUGAUCCAGGGGGAAAGUCUUUAAGGAAUACCCUUGUCGUAGGCAGAAUUAUGGCGUCCCAAGAGAUUCCACGCACUAAUUCCUGAGAUUAUGAGUAUGCUAUCUUGUCCAUGAAUGUGGUACCGUACAUGACAAAGGGACUUUGCAGAUGUGAUCCGUUGACCUUAAAAUAGAUUAUCCUGGAUGAUCUGGGUGGGCCCGAUAUAACCACAUAAGCCCUUAAGACGAGGGGCAGAAGAGGAAGUCUCAGAAUUGCAAAGCACAAGAAUGAGUCAAUGCACUCAUUGACUCAACCCGCUCCAGGGAGGCCCUGGACUGACAGUAAACCCAGAACAGGGACUUCCGUCCUACAGUUGCAGGGAACCAAAUUCUGCCAACAAUCUGAGUAAGCCUGGGAGUGGAUUCACCCCCAGAGCCUCCAGAUAACAGUCUUGAUUCCAGCCUAUGAGCCCCUAAGCAGAGGGUCCCACUGAGCCUGCCUGACUUCUGACCUGCAGAAUUAUGACUGGGUGUCACUACCUUUGUGGUCAUUUGUCAUACAGCAAGAAAACACAAUGAAUACAGUGAGGAAGGUAAUCGUAUUAGUCAGAGUUCUCCAGAGAAACACAACCAAUAGGUGAUAGAUAGAUAGAUAGACAGAUAUUAUGAGGGAUUGGCUCACUUGAUGAUGGAGGCUGAGAAGUCCUACAACCUGUUCUCUGUACGCUGGAGACCCAGGAACGCCCGUGGUGUGGUUCCAGUUCAACCCUGAAGACCCGAGAAUCAGGGGACAGACGGUGUAAGUCCUAGUCCAAGUCCAAAGGCCCAAGAACCAGGAGCCCCAAUGUCCCAGGGCAGGAGCAGAUGGACAGCCUAGCUCAAGGAGGGAGAGUGAACACGCCCAUCCUCUGCCUGCUUACUCCGUUCAGACCUCAGCAGCUUGAGUGAGGCCCCCCUGCGUGGGUGAAGGCGAUCUUCUCUACUCAGUCUACCUAUUCAAGUGCUAAUCUUUUCCCCAAACACCUUUACAAACACACCAGAAACAAAGUGUUACCAGCUCUCUGGUCAACCGUUGGCCCAGUCAAAUUGACACAGAAAAUUAACCAUCACAGAAUUAUUAUUUCUCUGUUUUACAAAUGAAGAAACCAAGGCACAGAGAAGUUAAGUGACUUGCAAAAGGUGGCACAACUAGGAGAUGAUGGUACUGGCCCCUUGAAACCAGGUAGGCUCCAGACCCUAUGCUUGUAACCAUUAUGCCAUCCUGGUAUAACCAUUAUACCUCCAGUUUGGAGAUGAGGGGCAGGUUUUUUUCAGGCGAGAAGUCAUCAGGCAGUGGAUUUCUAAACCAGGUUUUCAGAGCACACCUUGCAGAUCUCACGUGCCAACACUGGAUGCUACAUUCGAAGGAGAGGUUCCAUCUUCAUUUCCAGAACUGACAGCCUCUGAGGUCUCUGGGAUAGACUUUCUCCUUGUUGCCUUAUAGCACAUGUGGCUUGCAGAAAUGUGUUAAAUCGGAUUUUGCCAUCUGAAGCAGGAAGAGGAUUAUAAUAGUAACCAGUAUCCACUCUGCCCUCUCUACAUACCAGGUACCCCGCCUUUUGCAAACAUUGUUUCCUUCGAUCCAGUCAGGGGCCCUCUGGGAUGGACAAGGAAGUUUCUCAGUGCAGAUGUACGUAAACUCAGCCUCAGAGAGGCCCAGGGAUCAACCAGUCAACAAGCAGGAGAGCCGGGCCCCAAAGUCCCAAGCCCAAGUCACACCAUCCACCCACCAGUAAGAGGAUGACGGCCAUCAAAGUGGGCUCGGCAGCCUCCAGAUGUGACAAGGGCGGAAAAUGAAAGAGGGUGUGUGGUGACAUGUGAGUGGGGCCUGGCCCUGCAGUAGAGACUUAGGAAAAGCUAGAGAGAAAAGAAAGUCAUUUCUUUGCAGCUUGAGGUGGUGGGUACAACACCGUCAUAAGCCCUCAGUAAGCGAAGGGCUGAGUUCAUGGUAUGAAAUCUGGGAGGGGUUUAUGGGAAGAGGGGGCACAACACACUUAUCCCAGGGGGCUGUGAAAACAGAGAGUCCAGAACUCCACCCCAGUUCUAUCAAAUUAGAAUCUGUGGGGCUGUCACUAACACUUCCAUUUUUUGUUUUUUUUCUUUUCUUUUCUUUUCUUUUUGGCCACACCACGCAGCAUGCAGGAUCUUAGUUCCCCGACCGAGGACCGAACCCACAUCCCCCGCAUUGGAAGCUGCAUUGGAAGCACAGAAUCUUAAACGCUGGACCACCAGGGAACCCCUGGCAAUCCAAUUUUUAAUAAGCCACCAGGGAAGCCAUAGGUACACUGAAGUUUAAGACUUCCUGGCUGUUGGGCUUCCCUGGUGGCGCAGUGGUUAAGAAUCCGCCUGCCAAUGCAGGGGACACAGGUUCGAGCCCCGGGUCUGGGAAGAUCCCACAUGCCACGGAGCAUCUAAGCCCAUGCACCACAACUACUGAGCCUGUGCUCUAGAGCGAGCCACAACUACUGAGCCCGCACGCCUACAGCCCAUGCUCUGCAACAAGAGAAGCCACCACAGCGAGAAGCCCGCACACCGCAACGAAGAGUAGCCCCCGUUCACCACAACUAAAGAAAGCCCACGCACAGCAACAAAGACCCAACGCAGCCAAAAAUAAAUAAAUAAGUUAAUUAAUUAAAAAAAAAAAACGUACUAGCUGUUAUGGGUUGAAUUGUAUCUCCUGCAAAUUCAUAUGUUGGAGUCCCAACUCCCAGUACCUCAGAAUGGGACCUUUCUUGGAGAUGAGGUCUUCAAAGAGGUAAUCAAGUCAAAACGAGGUCAUUAGGGUGGGCCCUAGUCCUAUGUGACUGGUGGCCUUAUAAGAAAGGGAAAUGUGGACACAGACACGCACAUGGAAAACGAUAUGAAGAGACACAGAGAAGACGGCCGUGGACAAGGUAAGAAGAGAGCCUGGAAAAGACACUUCCUUCACCGCCCCCAGAAGGAACCAACCCUGCUGGUACCUUGAGCUCAGACUUGCAGGCUCCAGAACCGUGAAACCAUAGCUGUCUGGUGUGUAAGCCACAGAGUGUGUGGUACUUUGUGACAGAGGCCCUAGUAAAUGAACACACCGGCCCCACGGAGAAAGGGACCUUUGCAGGACGUGUAUCUGCCAUGGGCCUGGGGCAGGGUGGGUGUGGGCACCCAGAAUGUUCCCAGCCACAGCUCAAAGAUAAGACUAGUGCUCUACUUCCCUCCAAGCAGGGAGAAAGCUUUUCACACCAAGUUCUUGCAGUGAAGAAAUCUGAGAGCAGCAGCAAAGCCAGUGUCUGUUUUCUGGGACAGGGAGGAAGGAUGGAACGAAGCAUCUGACUCCGAGAAGCAGAAAAAUGUGGAGGGGCGGGGUGGGGGAGGGGGGAGAGAGAGAUUGAAAGUGGAAAAAGAGAGAAACGGGGAUCCUGGGAGAUCAUGGUUUUCAUUCCUUAUUUGUUCUUAACUUCUAGGCUGGUGCUACAGAGGGCGUCUUCUUUUCUGACCUGCAGGAGCUCGAAAAUAGGACUGGGUUGGCAUUCGGAGCACGUCUCUUACUUUGUAAAAUAAAUGCUCCUCUGAAAGUC
Long non-coding RNA from Orcinus orca (killer whale), 7043 nucleotides. RefSeq lists it as uncharacterized. The record is from RefSeq and is a predicted model, not a curated record. The transcript has 3 exons. Lineage: Eukaryota; Metazoa; Chordata; Mammalia; Artiodactyla; Delphinidae.